UACGGGAGGCAGCAGUGGGGAAUAUUGCACAAUGGGCGAAAGCCUGAUGCAGCUAUGCCGCGUGUAUGAAGAAGGCCUUAGGGUUGUAAAGUACUUUCAUCGGGGAGGAAAAAACAAAACUAAUAAUUUUAUUUCUUGACGUUACCCGAAAAAGAAGCACCGGCUAACUCCGUGCCAGCAGCCGCGGUAAUACGGAGGGUGCUAGCGUUAAUCAGAAUUACUGGGCGUAAAGAGCACGUAGGUGGUUUUUUUAAGUCAGAUGUGAAAUCCCUGGGCUUUAACCUAGGAACUGCAUUUUGAAACUGAAAUACUAGAGUAUCGUAGAGGGAGGUAGAAUUCUAGGUGUAGCGGUGAAAUGGCGUAGAUAUCUGGAGGAAUACCUGUGGCGAAAGCGGCCUCCUAAACGAAUACUGACACUGAGGGUGCGAAAGCGUGGGGAGCAAACGAGGGAUUUAGAUACC
This 461-nucleotide ribosomal RNA is filed under the name uncultured bacterium. Its description in RNAcentral is "bacterial SSU rRNA". It matches the Rfam family "Bacterial small subunit ribosomal RNA", at positions 340 to 786 of the family's 1533-position model. The record is from RNAcentral.